RNAcentral lists this ribosomal RNA (406 nucleotides) under uncultured bacterium. RNAcentral describes it as "partial 16S ribosomal RNA". It matches the Rfam family "Bacterial small subunit ribosomal RNA", at positions 29 to 526 of the family's 1533-position model. The record is from RNAcentral.
AUUGAACGCUGGCGGCAGGCCUAACACAUGCAAGUCGAGCGAGCGGCGGACGGGUGAGGAAGGUCUGGGGAACUGCCAGAUGGAGGGGGCUAACUACUGGAAACGGUAGCUAAUACCGCGUACCACCAGAUGUUCCCCGAUGGGAGUAGCUAGUAGGUGGGGGAAUGGCUCACCUAGGCGACGAUCCCUAGCUGGUCUGAGAGGAUGACCAGCCACACUGGAACUGAGACACGGUCCAGACUCCUACGGGAGGCAGCAGUGGGGAAUAUUUCACAAUGGGCGCAAGCCUGAUGCAGCCAGGCCGCGUGUGUGAAGAAGGCCUUCGGGUUGUAAAGCACUUUCAGCGGGGAGGCGUUACCCGCAGAAGAAGCACCGGCUAACUCCGUGCCAGCAGCCGCGGUAAUUC